Molecule: ribosomal RNA, 750 nt
Filed under: Agrococcus jenensis
Lineage: Bacteria; Bacillati; Actinomycetota; Actinomycetes; Micrococcales; Microbacteriaceae
Description: bacterial SSU rRNA
Rfam family: Bacterial small subunit ribosomal RNA
Source: RNAcentral
CGGGUGAGUAAUACGUGAGCAAUGUGCCCUUGACUCUGGGAUAAGCGCUGGAAACGGCGUCUAAUACCGGAUACGACCUUCGGAGGCAUCUCCUGACGGUGGAAAGAAUUUCGGUCAAGGAUCAGCUCACGGCCUAUCAGCUAGUUGGUGAGGUAAUGGCUCACCAAGGCGACGACGGGUAGCCGGCCUGAGAGGGUGACCGGCCACACUGGGACUGAGACACGGCCCAGACUCCUACGGGAGGCAGCAGUGGGGAAUAUUGCACAAUGGGCGCAAGCCUGAUGCAGCAACGCCGCGUGAGGGACGAAGGCCUUCGGGUUGUAAACCUCUUUUAGCAGGGAAGAAGCGAGAGUGACGGUACCUGCAGAAAAAGCACCGGCUAACUACGUGCCAGCAGCCGCGGUAAUACGUAGGGUGCAAGCGUUGUCCGGAAUUAUUGGGCGUAAAGAGCUCGUAGGCGGUUUGUCACGUCUGCUGUGAAAACCCGAGGCUCAACCUCGGGCUUGCAGUGGGUACGGGCAGACUAGAGUGCGGUAGGGGAGAUUGGAAUUCCUGGUGUAGCGGUGGAAUGCGCAGAUAUCAGGAGGAACACCGAUGGCGAAGGCAGAUCUCUGGGCCGUAACUGACGCUGAGGAGCGAAAGCAUGGGGAGCAAACAGGCUUAGAUACCCUGGUAGUCCAUGCCGUAAACGUUGGGAACUAGAUGUGGGGACCAUUCCACGGUCUCCGUGUCGUAGCUAACGCAUUAAGU